GCCUGGGUGGCUCAGUGGGUUGAGCAUCUAACUUUGGCUCAGGUCAUGAUCUCAUGGCUUGUGGGUUCAAGCCCUGCGUCAGGCU
Molecule: transfer RNA, 85 nt
Filed under: Felis catus (domestic cat)
Lineage: Eukaryota; Metazoa; Chordata; Mammalia; Carnivora; Felidae
Rfam family: tRNA
About the family: Transfer RNA (tRNA) molecules are approximately 80 nucleotides in length. Their secondary structure includes four short double-helical elements and three loops (D, anti-codon, and T loops).
Source: Rfam by way of RNAcentral